Molecule: long non-coding RNA, 634 nt
Organism: Hibiscus syriacus
Lineage: Eukaryota; Viridiplantae; Streptophyta; Magnoliopsida; Malvales; Malvaceae
Exons: 2
Source: RefSeq, a predicted model, not a curated record
UUCUUUUAUCUUCUUCUUUUGGAAAAUUUAUUAGUUCUUCGAAUUGUUUUUUUUUUCUGUGAUGAACUCCCAUUCAUCUUCAACAAGAUGAAUGGGUUCUCCGAUGUGGACGGCUUUGUGGAAAUAACUGAAUCCCUAGCAGAGAUGAUCAAGUUCGGGGCAAACGAACCAUCGGUCGGACUUUUCUACAUUCAACAGCACACCGAAAAUGCCGUUCCAAACCUAGUUAAUCUACAUGAUCAUGUUGUAGAAGAGUCUCAUCAAGUAAUUUUACACAUAGAGGACUCGGAAGAUUCUAUCACCAUGGUGAGAUCGAUGAAGGAAUGUGAGGUUUGAUCCACGGUCCUGCUUCAAGCUUUAAGAUGGGAAGAACUAACUCACGGGGACCAAUGUCUUGGGGUCCUGGUUCUGGAAAUAUCCAGUUGGAUAGCAGUAAUUAUUUUUCAACUGUAAUCAAAGUCCAUGAUACAAAAAGCAAGUAAUUUUAAGUGGCCACAACUUGAUUCCAAGGAACAUAUGGAAACCGAGCCUGAGAAGCCACCUCUGCAACCAGCUGCACCAUUGGUCCAUUGUCGGUUGCAUCCGCCAGCACCAGUUCAAUUCCUGAUACAGAAGCUGAUGAGCUACCUGUAUC